UACGGAGGGGGCGAGCGUUAUUCGGAAUCACUGGGCGUAAAGGGCGCGUAGGCGGCUCGGUAAGCGUGUGGUGAAAGCCUGGGGCUCAACCCCGGGUCGGCCAUGCGAACUGUCGAGCUGGAGCACUGUAGAGGCAGGCGGAAUUCCGGGUGUAGCGGUGGAAUGCGUAGAGAUCCGGAAGAACACCGGUGGCGAAGGCGGCCUGCUGGGCAGUAGCUGACGCUGAGGCGCGACAGCGUGGGGAGCAAACAGG
This 253-nucleotide ribosomal RNA is filed under the name uncultured bacterium. RNAcentral describes it as "partial 16S ribosomal RNA". It matches the Rfam family "Bacterial small subunit ribosomal RNA", at positions 524 to 776 of the family's 1533-position model. The record is from RNAcentral.